GGCCAGAAGAAAUUAACCAUGUGCC
RNAcentral lists this non-coding RNA (25 nucleotides) under Rattus norvegicus (Norway rat). Lineage: Eukaryota; Metazoa; Chordata; Mammalia; Rodentia; Muridae. The record is from RNAcentral.